This 433-nucleotide ribosomal RNA is filed under the name uncultured bacterium. RNAcentral's name for it is "partial 16S ribosomal RNA". It matches the Rfam family "Bacterial small subunit ribosomal RNA", at positions 29 to 507 of the family's 1533-position model. The record is from RNAcentral.
AACGAACGCUGGCGGCAUGCUUAGCACAUGCAAGUCGAACGGCUCCUCCGGGAUUAGUGUCACACGGGUGAGUAACGCGUGGGAACGUACCCUUUACUACGGACUAACUCAGGGAAACUUGAGCUAAUACCGUAUGUGCCCUCCCGUGGGAAGAUUUAUCGGGAAAGGAUCGGCCGGCGUUGGCUAAGCUAGUUGGUGGGGUAAUGGCCUACCAGGGCGCCGAUCGAUAGCUGGUCUGUGAGGAUGAUCAGCCACACUGGGACUGAGAAACGGCCCAGAAUCCUACAGAAGGCAGGAAAGGGUAAUACUGGAAUACGGGGGCAAGGCUGAUCCAGCCCGGCUGGGUGAGUGAUGAAGGUCGUAAGAUUGUAAUGUGCUCUAAUCGCUCAAGAUGAUGACGGUAGCCGAAGAAGAAGCCCCGGCUAACUACGUG